GAUGAAGAACGUAGCGAAAUGCGAUAAGUAAUGUGAAUUGCAGAAUUCAGUGAAUCAUCGAAUCUUUGAACGCAAAUUGCGCCCCCUGGUAUUCCGGGGGGCAUGCCUGUCCGAGCGUCAUUACAACCCUCAAGCUCAGCUUGGUGUUGGGCCCCGCCGCCCCGGCGGGCCCUAAAGUCAGUGGCGGUGCCGUCCGGCUCCGAGCGUAGUAAUUCUUCUCGCUCUGGAGGUCCGGUCGUGUGCUCGCCAGCAACCCCCAAUUUUUUUCAGGUUGACCUCGGAUCAGGUAGGGAUACCCGCUGAACUUAAGCAUAUCAAUAAGCGGAGGA
Molecule: unclassified non-coding RNA, 329 nt
Filed under: soil metagenome
Description: partial contains 5.8S ribosomal RNA, internal transcribed spacer 2, and large subunit ribosomal RNA
Rfam family: 5.8S ribosomal RNA (bases 1-120)
Source: RNAcentral